RNAcentral lists this ribosomal RNA (427 nucleotides) under uncultured prokaryote. RNAcentral's name for it is "bacterial SSU rRNA". It matches the Rfam family "Bacterial small subunit ribosomal RNA", at positions 355 to 774 of the family's 1533-position model. The record is from RNAcentral.
UGGGGAAUUUUGGACAAUGGGCGCAAGCCUGAUCCAGCCAUGCCGCGUGAGUGAAGAAGGCCUUCGGGUUGUAAAGCUCUUUCGGUGGGGAAGAAAUUGCACUCUCUAAUACAGGGUGUAGAUGACGGUACCCGCAUAAGAAGCACCGGCUAACUACGUGCCAGCAGCCGCGGUAAUACGUAGGGUGCGAGCGUUAAUCGGAAUUACUGGGCGUAAAGCGUGCGCAGGCGGUUGUAUAAGUCAGAGGUGAAAUCCCCGGGCUCAACCUGGGAACUGCAUUUGAGACUGUACGGCUAGAGUGUGGCAGAGGGGGGUGGAAUUCCACGUGUAGCAGUGAAAUGCGUAGAGAUGUGGAGGAACACCGAUGGCGAAGGCAGCCCCCUGGGCCAAUACUGACGCUCAUGCACGAAAGCGUGGGGAGCAAACA